AUACGGAGGUUGCAAGCGUUACUCGGAAUCACUGGGCGUAAAGCGCGCGCAGGCGGCUUGAUAAGUUGGAUGUGAAAGCCUACGGCUCAACCGUAGAACUGCAUCCAAAACUAUUUAGCUAGAGUGUGGGAGAGGAAGAUGGAAUUAGUUGUGUAGGGGUAAAAUCCGUAGAGAUAACUAGGAAUACCAAAAGCGAAGGCAAUCUUCUGGAACACUACUGACGCUGAGGCGCGAAGGCGUGGGGAGCAAACGGGAUUAGAAACCCCAGUAGUCC
RNAcentral lists this ribosomal RNA (274 nucleotides) under uncultured bacterium. RNAcentral's name for it is "partial 16S ribosomal RNA". It matches the Rfam family "Bacterial small subunit ribosomal RNA", at positions 523 to 796 of the family's 1533-position model. The record is from RNAcentral.